CACUGUGAAACGCUGAGUCUUUUCUGAAAGAGAAGGAAAGAGCGGAGGACCCAAUUAUCAGGGGUGUAUCUCUUAAUUGAGUAGGGUUACUUUCUUGACCCGAACCCGUCAGCUAACUUCGUAAGCGUUAAGAGAGAGGAUGG
Molecule: small RNA, 143 nt
Filed under: Priestia megaterium
Lineage: Bacteria; Bacillati; Bacillota; Bacilli; Caryophanales; Bacillaceae
Also listed under: 1 other name
Description: Bacillus megaterium c-di-AMP sequence
Rfam family: c-di-AMP riboswitch aptamer (ydaO/yuaA leader)
About the family: This family represents a conserved RNA structure found upstream of the ydaO and yuaA genes in Bacillus subtilis and related genes in other bacteria. The ydaO/yuaA element is thought to act as a genetic "off" switch for the ydaO and yuaA genes in its native state. It is believed that the element may be triggered during osmotic shock leading to activation of ydaO, a predicted amino acid transporter gene, and members of the yuaA-yubG operon which code for KtrA and KtrB K+ transporters.
Source: RNAcentral